RNAcentral lists this long non-coding RNA (928 nucleotides) under Salmo salar (Atlantic salmon). RNAcentral's name for it is "lncRNA (ENSSSAG00000094071.1)". Lineage: Eukaryota; Metazoa; Chordata; Actinopteri; Salmoniformes; Salmonidae. The record is from RNAcentral.
CAGACAGACAGUCUAGGACAGGUCAACGACAGACAGGCUGUGUAGUGACAGACAGCUGAUAUGAACAGUGAUUAGAGUGUAGUAAUAACAAUAGAAAAGAUGAUUACGACAGUGACAUUAAAGACCAACAUUUAUCCCCCGUUAACCACAGUCCUGGAAUCAGAUGUUAACUCCUGUCUCUACAUAGUGGAGGUUAGGACCCCCGUUAACCACAGUCCUGGAAUCAGAUGUUAACUCCUGUCUCUACAUAGUGGAGGUUAGGACCCCCUGUUAACCACAGUCCUGGAAUCAGAUGUUAACUCCUGUCUCUACAUAGUGGAGGUUAGGACCCCCUGUUAACCACAGUCCUGGAAUCAGAUGUUAACUCCUGUCUACAUAGUGGAGGUUAGACCCCCGUUAACCACAGUCCUGGAAUCAGAUGUUAACUCCUGUCUCUACAUAGUGGAGGUUAGACCCCCGUUAACCACAGUCCUGGAAUCAGAUGUUAACUCCUGUCUCUACAUAGUGGAGGUUAGGGACCCCCUGUUAACCACAGUCCUGGAAUCAGAUGUUAACUCCUGUCUACAUAGUGGAGGUUAGACCCCCGUUAACCACAGUCCUGGAAUCAGAUGUUAACUCCUGUCUCUACAUAGUGGAGGUUAGGACCCCCGUUAACCACAGUCCUGGAAUCAGAUGUUAACUCCUGUCUACAUAGUGGAGGUUAGGACCCCCGUUAACCACAGUCCUGGAAUCAGAUGUUAACUCCUGUCUACAUAGUGGAGGUUAGACCCCCGUUAACCACAGUCCUGGAAUCAGAUGUUAACUAGGUUAAGGGAUCUGAUGCUAGAUAGACAGAAAGGUUCAACCUCCUCGUUAUUCCGUCGACCCCCAGACAGGGGGGGCCCUGAUGAACUCCAGACAGGGGGGGCCCUAAUGAACUCCAGCCGGG